UACGGAGGGUGCGAGCGUUAAUCGGAAUUACUGGGCGUAAAGCGCGCGUAGGCGGCUUGUUAAGCUGGAUGUGAAAUCCCCGGGCUCAACCUGGGAACUGCACCCAGAACUGGCAAGCUAGAGUAUGGUAGAGGUGAGUGGAAUUUCCUGUGUAGCGGUGAAAUGCGUAGAUAUAGGAAGGAACAUCAGUGGCGAAGGCGACUCACUGGACUAAUACUGACGCUGAGGUGCGAAAGCGUGGGGAUCAAACAGG
RNAcentral lists this ribosomal RNA (253 nucleotides) under uncultured bacterium. Its description in RNAcentral is "partial 16S ribosomal RNA". It matches the Rfam family "Bacterial small subunit ribosomal RNA", at positions 524 to 776 of the family's 1533-position model. The record is from RNAcentral.